AGGUCGCCUAGCUUGAGGGGGAAUCUUAGUAUGCUCUGUGGCCGCAGCUUUGGUUGAUCUUCCACAUCAGAAAAGAUUUUCUGGUUCAAGAAGCUUGUAGGAGGAGAAGUUGGUGCAAUUGAAGUAUCGAGGCUUGUGGUGAAUUCUGGCGGUUAUAUCUGGUAGUGUGGAGGUACAUGUCUAGGUAAGCUCUGGCUAGGAAAGACUUGGUAAUUAAGUGGUCACGCCGGACCUACCUCUAUU
RNAcentral lists this long non-coding RNA (243 nucleotides) under Nicotiana benthamiana. RNAcentral describes it as "long non-coding RNA (NBEN_LNC014085)". The record is from RNAcentral. Lineage: Eukaryota; Viridiplantae; Streptophyta; Magnoliopsida; Solanales; Solanaceae.